This 921-nucleotide ribosomal RNA is filed under the name uncultured bacterium. RNAcentral describes it as "bacterial SSU rRNA". It matches the Rfam family "Bacterial small subunit ribosomal RNA", at positions 77 to 997 of the family's 1533-position model. The record is from RNAcentral.
GCUCCUGCUGACGAGCGGCGGACGGGUGAGUAACGCGUGGGAAUCUGCCUAUUGGUGGGGGAUAGCCCGGAGAAAUCCGGAUUAAUACCGCAUAGUACCUAAGGGUUAAAGCAGGGGAUCUUCGGACCUUGCGCCAGUAGAUGAGCCCGCGUCAGAUUAGUUUGUUGGUGAGGUAAUGGCUCACCAAGACUGCGAUCUGUAGCUGGCCUGAGAGGGUGGUCAGUCACACUGGAACUGAGACACGGUCCAGACUCCUACGGGAGGCAGCAGUGGGGAAUAUUGGGCAAUGGGCGCAAGCCUGACCCAGCCAUGCCGCGUGUGUGAAGAAGGCUUUCGGGUUGUAAAGCACUUUAAGUUGGGAGGAAGGUGCGACGGUUAAUACCCGUUGUAAUUGACGUUACCAACAGAAUAAGCACCGGCUAAUUCCGUGCUAGCAGCCGCGGUAAUACGGAAGGUGCAAGCGUUAAUCGGAAUUACUGGGCGUAAAGCGCACGUAGGCGGUUUGCUAAGUCAGAUGUGAAAGCCCAGGGCUUAACCUUGGAACUGCAUCUGAUACUGGCAGGCUAGAGUACAGUAGAGGGAGGUGGAAUUUCAGGUGUAGCGGUGAAAUGCGUAGAGAUCUGAAGGAACACCAGUGGCGAAGGCGGCCUCCUGGACUGAUACUGACGCUGAGGAGCGAAAGCGUGGGGAGCAAACAGGAUUAGAUACCCUGGUAGUCCACGCCGUAAACGAUGUCGACUAGCCGUUGGGAACCUACGAGUUCUUAGUGGCGCAGCUAACGCACUAAGUCGACCGCCUGGGGAGUACGGCCGCAAGGUUAAAACUCAAAUGAAUUGGCGGGGGCCCGCACAAGCGGUGGAGCAUGUGGUUUAAUUCGAAGCAACGCGAAGAACCUUACCAAGUCUUGACAUCCAGAGAACU